AAAUAGAUACCCAGGUAGUCCACGCCGUAAACGAUGAGUGCUAGGUGUUGGGGGGUCCACCCCUCGGUGCCGAAGUUAACACAUUAAGCACUCCGCCUGGGGAGUACGGUCGCAAGACUGAAACUCAAAGGAAUUGACGGGGGACCCGCACAAGCAGUGGAGUAUGUGGUUUAAUUCGAAGCAACGCGAAGAACCUUACCAGGUCUUGACAUCCCUCUGACCGGCCUAGAGAUAGGCCUUCCCUUCGGGGCAGAGGGAGACAGGUGGUGCAUGGUUGUCGUCAGCUCGUGUCGUGAGAUGUUGGGUUAAGUCCCGCAACGAGCGCAACCCUUGAACUUAGUUGCCAGCACCUCGGGUGGGCACUCUAGGUUGACUGCCGGUGACAAACCGGAGGAAGGCGGGGAUGACGUCAAAUCAUCAUGCCCCUUAUGACCUGGGCUACACACGUACUACAAUGGCCGGUACAACGGGUCGCGAAGCCGCGAGGCGGAGCCAAUCCUAUCAAAGCCGGUCUCAGUUCGGAUUGCAGGCUGCAACUCGCCUGC
Molecule: ribosomal RNA, 545 nt
Filed under: uncultured bacterium
Lineage: Bacteria
Description: bacterial SSU rRNA
Rfam family: Bacterial small subunit ribosomal RNA
Source: RNAcentral